This 1377-nucleotide ribosomal RNA is filed under the name uncultured Pelagibacterales bacterium. RNAcentral's name for it is "bacterial SSU rRNA". It matches the Rfam family "Bacterial small subunit ribosomal RNA". The record is from RNAcentral. Lineage: Bacteria; Pseudomonadati; Pseudomonadota; Alphaproteobacteria; Candidatus Pelagibacterales.
UAACACAUGCAAGUCGAACGAAGUAGCAAUACUUAGUGGCAGACGGGUGAGUAACAUGUAGGUAUCUGCCCUUUGGCCUGGAAUAACACGAGGAAACUUGUGCUAAUACCGGAUAAGUCUUUACGGAGAAAGCUUUAUGCACCAUUCGGAUGAACCCGCACUUGAUUAGUUUGUUGGUAGGGUAAUGGCCUACCAAGACUAUGAUCAAUAGUUGAUUUGAGAGGAUGAUCAGCCACAUUGGGACUGAGACACGGCCCAAACUCCUACGGGAGGCAGCAGUGGGGAAUCUUGCACAAUGGAGGAAACUCUGAUGCAGCGAUGCCGCGUGAGUGAAGAAGGCCUUUGGGUUGUAAAGCUCUUUCGUCGGGGAAGAAAAUGACUGUACCCGAAUAAGAAGGUCCGGCUAACUUCGUGCCAGCAGCCGCGGUAAUACGAAGGGACCUAGCGUAGUUCGGAAUUACUGGGCUUAAAGAGUUCGUAGGUGGUUGAAAAAGUUGGUGGUGAAAUCCCAGAGCUUAACUCUGGAACUGCCAUCAAAACUUUUCAGCUAGAGUAUGAUAGAGGAAAGCAGAAUUUCUAGUGUAGAGGUGAAAUUCGUAGAUAUUAGAAAGAAUACCAAUUGCGAAGGCAGCUUUCUGGAUCAUUACUGACACUGAGGAACGAAAGCAUGGGUAGCGAAGAGGAUUAGAUACCCUCGUAGUCCAUGCCGUAAACGAUGUGUGUUAGACGUUGGAAAUUUAUUUUCAGUGUCGCAGGGAAACCGAUAAACACACCGCCUGGGGAGUACGACCGCAAGGUUAAAACUCAAAUGAAUUGACGGGGACCCGCACAAGUAGUGGAGCAUGUGGUUUAAUUCGAAGAUACGCGCAGAACCUUACCAACACUUGACAUGUUCGUCGCGACUCUAAGAGAUUAGAGUUUUCGGUUCGGCCGGACGAAACACAGGUGCUGCAUGGCUGUCGUCAGCUCGUGUCGUGAGAUGUUGGGUUAAGUCCCGCAACGAGCGCAACCCUCACUUUUAGUUGCCAUCAUUAAGUUGGGCACUCUGAAAGAACUGCCAGUGAUAAGCUGGAGGAAGGUGGGGAUGACGUCAAGUCCUCAUGGCCCUUACGUGUUGGGCUACACACGUGCUACAAUGGCAUCUACAACAGGAAGCAAAACGGCAACGUUAAGCAAAUCCCGAAAAGAUGCCUCAGUUCGGAUUGCACUCUGCAACUCGAGUGCAUGAAGCUGGAAUUACUAGUAAUCGUGGAUCAGCGUGCCACGGUGAAUGCGUUCCCGGGUCUUGUACACACCGCCCGUCACACCAUGGGAGUUGGUUCUACCUUAAGGCAAGGUUUUAAACCCUUGACCACGGUAUAGUCAGCGACUGGGGUG